GAUGAACGCUGGCGGCGUGCCUAAUACAUGCAAGUCGAGCGAACAGACGAGGAGCUUGCUCCUCUGACGUUAGCGGCGGACGGGUGAGUAAAACGUGGAUAACCUACCUAUAAGACUGGGAUAACUUCGGGAAACCGGAGCUAAUACCGGAUAAUUUAUUUAAACGCAUUGGUCAAUAAUGGAAAGAGGGUUUUCUGUCAAUUAUUGGUUGAACCGGGCCGCAUUAGCUAGUUGGUAAGGUAACGGCUUACCAAGGCGACGAUGCGUAGCCGACCUGAGAGGGUGAUCGGCCACACUGGAACUGAGACACGGUCCAGACUCCUACGGGAGGCAGCAGUAGGGAAUCUUCCGCAAUGGGCGAAAGCCUGACGGAGCAACGCCGCGUGAGUGAUGAAGGUCUUCGGAUCGUAAAACUCUGUUAUUAGGGAAGAACAAAUGUGUAAGUAACUAUGCACGUCUUGACGGUACCUAAUCAGAAAGCCACGGCUAACUACGUG
This 497-nucleotide ribosomal RNA is filed under the name uncultured bacterium. Its description in RNAcentral is "partial 16S ribosomal RNA". It matches the Rfam family "Bacterial small subunit ribosomal RNA", at positions 28 to 507 of the family's 1533-position model. The record is from RNAcentral.